GGUGAGGUGGGUCGCGGGUGUCGACGCAGUCCUACCCGCUGCUGACUGCGGGCCGGGCCCCGCCCAGGGGCGGGGCGUGGAUCCCGGGGACCCUGACUUCCUCCAAGGUGAGGAAGAGAGAAGGCAAAGACGGAGCCCAGUGGUCACCUGGACCCCCUACUGUCACUAGGAAACAGGUGAACAGGCCAGGAGAGCAGGUGUGCAGGGGUCAGCUGUUGAGAGUUUGAUGCAGAAGGAUGGAGAGACCUGGGGACACUCAGGGAUGGUGACAUUGGAGAUAGGCUCCGUUAGCCCUCCUCCAGGAUGAAGCAUGUGCCAGAAGACCUGGAGAACGCCGCUGGGCCGAGCUUUUGAGAAUCUGGGUGUCGUCCAUUCCGUCAGCCCACACACCUCAGGGCAGGAGCACAUGCUAGGACGGAAGGCGAAGAGCACGUCGACAUCUGCAAGACGUGCUGCUCCUCCAGAGCCUUUGCCCUUGAACUUGCAGCAUCGCUGUUGGACGUUAGACGUGAGUUAGACGUGAGUUAGACGUGAGUUAGACGUGCGUGGAGGCAUCGUGAACAUGUCGGAGGAAAGGUGGGCGGCAUCCCGUCCCCUCCCUUCCUGUUGCAAUAGACUCGUUUGGCAGUUUUCUGUCAGAUGUUAAUUCUUGCAAAUGCCCUGUGCCACCCACCGCUGGUGACAAUGGUGACCACUGCCAUGGUAGUAGCAGAGGUGACCCUCUCGAAGCUCUUCUCCCAGCGGGGUGGUGGUUGGCCAGGUGCUGCCAUCUUAUCAGCCAUCCUUCCCCGGGCUGAGACCUGCCUGUGGAUCUCCGAGAGUUACCUCAGGAAGCAGCAGAAGAAAUCAGACUCCCGAUAGGUCAGGACGCUUGAGAGAGUGGCACUUGGACAGCCUGGUGGCCUUCCUCGUGGCCACUUGGAUUCUCCUCCUGCAUCUGAGGUGGGACAGUGAAAAACUGCCACUAGAACUCCAGGCACUGAGGGUCACUGGAGGAAGACAGUGGCUGGAGGUAAGGUCUCCCCAUUGGAAGGUGAAUGGUGACAUCCACGGGUGAUUUGUUGAACAGCUAAUAAGAAUGGAUUCAGUGUACAACCCUCCAACGUGGUGUCACGUGCACAUGCGUGUGGCAGCCUGCGGGGCUGCCGAGGUAACGCCAUGGUCCCUCUGCAGUCAGUGAGACUGAAUCUGGUCUUUAACGAGUCGUGGCACAAAAAAUCUUCUGCAAUAGCCCUAACCAAAGACUUCUUAAUAUAUUGAAAUGCCCCUUUUUAUUAAGCAAAAUGCCUUUUUAUUUUGAUGCACAGAAUGGAAUUUUUUGCUUUAUGUCUCGGAUUUAUAUUAUUUUUUUAACUCGACAUUUACUCCCUUUGUGUAUUUUAAGUCACGCACAUGUACUCUUUGUACAGUUGUAAAAUUUUAAUAGAAAUCAACGUAUUUUUUUAACUGCAUUACAUCAGCAUUUAUAGACGUUGUUAUGCACAACCUACCUUGGAGUCCCAUGUGCACACUGGCCGGCGCCCGGCGUCUGCUCUGUCCCCUGGCAGCGCCCAUGGCCCUGUCUGCUUGUUGCUCCAAGCCAGGUACCUUGCUUUACAAUUUCAGCCCAUAUCAUGAUGCCCAUCAAUGUUUGUUGCACCCCAAACACAAAACACUGUGCAGACUCAUUUCUCCUGCUUCCAUGGCUCAAACAGGAAAGUAUUAAAACGCAGCAAGAUCUUAUGGUCUCAAACUGGACCCAAAUCAAAUAAGCAGAAACCAGAAUUCUUCCAAGUAAAGAUAAGUGGUUGCAGCCUCCCUGAGGCAGGAAAGGCCUGAUGAACGAACUCCCAGGUAUCAGAACAAGACAUUGCAUGUGGCUAGCAUUGCUGCUUCCCUUUGUGGUCCAUAAACGGCUUUCAGACUAUUCUGGAAUGGGACUAGGGCUGAGUUAGGUGUGAGAUUCCCAUGCAGAAACCACUGGCCCGGGGAGUCCCACAGGCUUAAGAUUCUUGUGCUCUCUCAGGUGAAGUUUCCUGAGCA
Molecule: long non-coding RNA, 2022 nt
Organism: Balaenoptera acutorostrata (minke whale)
Lineage: Eukaryota; Metazoa; Chordata; Mammalia; Artiodactyla; Balaenopteridae
Exons: 3
Source: RefSeq, a predicted model, not a curated record